UACGUAGGGUGCGAGCGUUGUCCGGAAUUAUUGGGCGUAAAGGGCUCGUAGGCGGUUUGUCACGUCGGGAGUGAAAACUCGGGGCUCAACCCCGAGCCUGCUUCCGAUACGGGCAGACUAGAGGUAUGCAGGGGAGAAUGGAAUUCCAGGUGUAGUGGUGAAAUACGUAGAUAUCUGGAGGAACACCGGUGGCGAAGGCGGCUACCUGGCCCAACAUUGACACUGAGACCCGAAAGCGUGGGGAUCAAACAGG
RNAcentral lists this ribosomal RNA (253 nucleotides) under uncultured bacterium. Its description in RNAcentral is "partial 16S ribosomal RNA". It matches the Rfam family "Bacterial small subunit ribosomal RNA", at positions 524 to 776 of the family's 1533-position model. The record is from RNAcentral.